UACGUAGGGGGCAAGCGUUGUCCGGAAUCAUUGGGCGUAAAGAGCGUGUAGGCGGCCAGAUAAGUCCGCUGUAAAAGUCCAGGGCUCAACCCUGGAAAGCCGGUGGAUACUGUCGGGCUAGAGUCCGGAAGAGGCGAGUGGAAUUCCUGGUGUAGCGGUGGAAUGCGCAGAUAUCAGGAGGAACACCGAUGGCGAAGGCAGCUCGCUGGGACGGUACUGACGCUGAGGCGCGAAAGCGUGGGGAGCGAACAGG
RNAcentral lists this ribosomal RNA (253 nucleotides) under uncultured bacterium. RNAcentral describes it as "partial 16S ribosomal RNA". It matches the Rfam family "Bacterial small subunit ribosomal RNA", at positions 524 to 776 of the family's 1533-position model. The record is from RNAcentral.